AUGACAACACACGAUGACUGGCAAUUUAAACGCUCUCAGGAGAGAGGAAGCGGCAACAGUUGCGAUUUUGCUUGGCUGUUCAACUACUCCAAGCAUUAUAAUCGAUCGUCUAUGCCAUCAACCAAAACUUGGUUCUUGAGAAAAAGAAAUACGAUAACAGUAGCAUUCAUGCAAAAUCUAGUACAGAAAAUAGCACGUGACUUUUAUAGACAUUUGCUGGUCGAAUUUUGGAAACUCAGGUCACCAACCAUUCAACAGCAUUCCAGAACUCAGCUCAGAUUGCAGCUCCAGGCUCAUUCAGUGCCAGUCACUCCAUGCACUGCUCCUCAUGAGAAGUCACAAGAGAACACCACAAGCUUCAGUAACUAUACAGUUUUAUCUACCGUUUCCAUGGAACAAACAAGCAAACACAUCUACUGA
RNAcentral lists this ribosomal RNA (420 nucleotides) under Triticum aestivum (bread wheat). RNAcentral's name for it is "partial small subunit ribosomal RNA". Lineage: Eukaryota; Viridiplantae; Streptophyta; Magnoliopsida; Poales; Poaceae. The record is from RNAcentral.